Molecule: long non-coding RNA, 1266 nt
Filed under: Lynx pardinus (Iberian lynx)
Lineage: Eukaryota; Metazoa; Chordata; Mammalia; Carnivora; Felidae
Source: RNAcentral
UCUUUAUUUGGCAGGUUUUGAGGCUGGAGGGGAAGGGCCGCCCGGGCGGGAGACCAGGAGAUGGGCGGGUUGGGGCAACUGGGCGAGCCUGUGCCCGGCAGCGGCCCGGCCUAGCCGCGCUCGCAGAUGACCUCGACGACACUGGGUUCCAUGGGCACUGGGUCCGGGCAGCGCAGGGCGGCUGAGGCCACCACUUCAUCCAACAGUAGGUGCACAAGCUCCUCGUCGGCCACGAAGCGCCACAGGUAGAGCUGCAGGAAGUGACAGUCCACCUGCACCUGCUGCAAGCCGAAGCGCCCAAAGGUGCGCAGCCGCACACACUCCAGCAGCGUCUUCAGGCUGAUCUUGAUGAUGCCGGUCAGCACCGAUACCUGCAGGCAAGGAGAGGUGGUUGCUCUGGGACAGCAGGUGUUGGGUAGGGGCACUGGAUCCCGGAGGGCACCCACGUUCUGGGCAGGGGCCAGAGAGACAGUAAGAAGCCAGUAGCUGUGAUGGGGUGUAAAAGUCCCAGGACCCAUCUGAGAGGGAGGGAUGGAUACAAGGUUAGCACCACCAUCCGGAGGGGGAACAGACAGGGAAAACGCAACAGUCAGAAGCAGAGAUGGGAGAAGCGCCUGGUCGGUUGAGUGUCCACCUCUUGGUUUCAGCUCAGGUCAUGAUCUCAUGGUUUGUGAGUUCGAGCCCCGCAUAGGGCUCGGUGCUGACAGUGCAGAGUUUCCUUGGGAUUCUCUCUCUCUCCCCCUCUCUGCCCCCUCCCCCAUUCACUCUCACUCUCAAAAAAAAAAAAAGGCAAGCAGAGAUGGGAGUCAGCACUGACACCAGGAGCGGGAAGGCUUGCUGAAUUAGAGGCAGAAGAACACCAGGUCCCCGAGUGUGGGCUGGGUUGGGGCAGGGCCUAUCGUGUGGACAGGAAUCCCUGAUGAGGACCCAGAACUCCUGUGGCAACAAGGACAAGGAUAAAAGGGGCGUUCCAGAUCAGCAUCGAGACCCAGGCUGGGGGCACCAAGGUCAGGGCAGAGGGCCAUGGGAUAUGGCAAUGGCGGGGCCGUAGAUGACCAUUCACUCCUAGAAACAGCCCAGAGACAGAGCCUGGUGGCCGGGGGCAGGGGAGCGGAGGAGUCCUAGACUCCUUGAGUCAGAUGCUUGAGCCAACCUUCCCGAGGGCCCCUAGAAGGUGGGCUCACAGGGGACUUCAGACCUUGUUGAACUCCACAGGGCUGAACACGUCGAUGCGCUCAGAGAACAGCUUCUGGAUGUUGCUCAAGA